CCUGCACUUAGCAUAGAACAAUCCCAUGCACUAGUCACAGGCUGGAGACCCACUGGCUAAGCAGCAUAUCUGCAAAAAAGGACUCGGGGGUUACAGUGGACAAUAAGCUGAAUAU
Long non-coding RNA from Gavialis gangeticus (Gharial), 115 nucleotides. RefSeq lists it as uncharacterized. NCBI's taxonomy places the organism in Eukaryota, Metazoa, Chordata, Crocodylia, Gavialidae. The record is from RefSeq and is a predicted model, not a curated record. The transcript has 2 exons.